Molecule: long non-coding RNA, 864 nt
Organism: Cygnus atratus (black swan)
Lineage: Eukaryota; Metazoa; Chordata; Aves; Anseriformes; Anatidae
Exons: 3
Source: RefSeq, a predicted model, not a curated record
GGGGGCGAUGGUGGCGGAGCUGCGCGUGCGGCCGUUGGUAACGGUCGCGGGGCGGGGAGGCCGUGAGGUAACCGACGGACCGAGGGCUCCGAGCGGCCUCAAAACCCCUCGGAACGGCCUCAAAACCCCGCGAGCCGCCUCAAAACCCGCGCCCGGCCCCAGCCCGAGGUACUUGCUGGGCCCCGGUCUUUGUGCCCCCGCUGGUGUUCUUCGGCUUUGCUUUUAGAAGUCGGUGCAGGAGGAAGGGACUGCCAUCCUGGGCGCUGAGCGUGGAGCCUGAUGCUUUGGGCCAGUCUGUGGCUGCUGGAGCAGAAGGGGAGCAGUCAUUUAAGCACGAGGAAGUACGUUGUCCAGCCGGCGAGCAGCAGUGCUCCAACCAGCACUGUGUAGCUGAACAGCACGAAGGCCAGCAGCUCCCUCAGGACCUUGAGGAAGUGGAUGGCAAAGGAGUCCGGCAUGGUUCUCCCCAGCACCACGGGGCAGGCAGCGCUGUUGACGUGCAUGUGGCCAGUUCAAGAUUUAUUUGUUGCUGCCUCUGCUAGAAGAAGCCCAGUGAAUGUCUUGGCCAGACAGUGGACUUGCGUGUGACCGAGGGGUAGGUAACCACAACAGCGUGGCGCAGGCUAAGCAGGCCCUGCAGGAGCGCUUCUCUGGCUGCCUCAGAGCCCUGUGGUUUCCGAAGGGGGACUGAGGACAUGUGGCAGCAGAAUUGUAGAGCCUCGUAAAGCAGCUGGGGCCAAAAGGAGCCUGCUUGCUUACUCUUUCUGUUUCAGUUUGGUACUUGGUGAAUUAUGUGUCAUUGUUUGUUUUUUGUCUUCAAGCUGUAUCUAAUCAUAUGCAGUAAAAAAGUUACUGCUUCCCCUU